This is an RNA transcript of Mustela erminea (ermine), 709 nucleotides long. It is a transcript of the gene named trafficking protein particle complex 2 like, with no coding region annotated. Lineage: Eukaryota; Metazoa; Chordata; Mammalia; Carnivora; Mustelidae. The record is from RefSeq and is a predicted model, not a curated record. The transcript has 5 exons.
GGCCGGGGCGGCCGCGUGACUCGCGGCGGGGUCACGUGACGCGGCCGCCGGGCCUCCAAGAUGGCGGUGUGCGUGGCGGUCAUCGCUAAGGAGAAUUACCCUCUUUACAUCCGCAGCAGCCCCACCGAGAAUGAGCUGAAAUUCCACUACAUGGUACACACGUCCCUAGAUGUGGUGGACGAGAAGAUCUCUGCCAUGGGGAAGGCCUUGGUGGACCAGAGGGAGCUCUACCUGGGCCUGCUGUACCCCACGGAGGACCACAAGGUGUACGGUUACGUGACCAACUCCAAGGUGAAGUUCGUCAUGGUGGUGGAUUCCUCCAACACGGCGCUGCGGGACAACGAGAUCCGCAGUAUGUUCCGGAAGCUGCACAGUUCGUACACGGACGUGAUGUGCAACCCCUUCUACAACCCCGGGGACCGCAUUCAGUCCCGGUGAGCCGAUUGCGGUGCAGCCCCUCCCUUGCGGAGAGCCGCAGUUACCAGCGUGCGGGAGGGAAGGGCCUUCGAUAGCAUGGUGACAUCCAUGAUGGUCCAGGUGUGCUGAGUGACAGCCCUGCCGCUGUCGUGGGGGAGAGGCCCUGGGGACAUGACUGUAUCGUUGUGCGGACAUCCGUGAUCGCUUGCCUGUUUCUGAGCCUCACAGACGUGCUGCUGGGGGCACGGUCUCCGGCGUGCUGCGUGCAGACUAAAUGUCCUCUGGGAUCGGA